Molecule: long non-coding RNA, 642 nt
Organism: Ornithorhynchus anatinus (platypus)
Lineage: Eukaryota; Metazoa; Chordata; Mammalia; Monotremata; Ornithorhynchidae
Exons: 3
Source: RefSeq, a predicted model, not a curated record
GACCACUGACUUUGCUAGCAGUUGCAGGCAGUGUGCCCCUACCACCCCUGGGUGAUGGGCUAAGGGUCAUGGUUCUGCUUGAGAGGAGAGGAGCUUGGGAAAGGGUUGAGAUAAACCAGCACAACCCUGCCCUUCCUGACCUCUUAGGCAUUGAUGCCCAGCGGGCAACUGGAUCGAGUUACCAUUCCUGACAACUACCUCCACCUGCUGAUGGCAAGGACAAUUUUAGCAGGCUCCAGGGGAGAGGUUGUGGCUAGAGACAUAUUGGCUCUUCCCUUGCCUCUUCUUGGGUUGAGGUCUCGAAAGACCACUCAGCUGCCUAUUUUUGAGGGUCGCUUGUAGUUGCAAUAUGAAGAUGCCUCCUUCCCUCGGUUAUGUGGAGCCUAGGUAAAUGAAAGAGUUCUGGAUAGAGUCUUGAUUUCAAGGGAAGAACUGCUCAAUUCAAUUUUUGGAAGCAAGGCAGAGAGAUUGGGCUUUUGAGGGAUAUCUGUUGAGAGACUGCAGUCUUCCCCAUGGUCUUCUACAUGAAAACAUAUCCAGCAAAGCAGAAAAGGCAUUGGAUGGAUAAGUGUGCAAAUCUCAAAAAGAAGCCUCAAAACCUAUUCUUGCUGUUGAAAGAAAUGUUUUUAAUCAUUUAAAGGA